This 301-nucleotide ribosomal RNA is filed under the name uncultured bacterium. Its description in RNAcentral is "partial 16S ribosomal RNA". It matches the Rfam family "Bacterial small subunit ribosomal RNA", at positions 509 to 807 of the family's 1533-position model. The record is from RNAcentral.
CAGUCGCCGCGGUAAUACGUAGGGUGCAAGCGUUAAUCGGAAUUACUGGGCGUAAAGCGUGCGCAGGCGGUUAUAUAAGACAGAUGUGAAAUCCCCGGGCUCAACCUGGGAACUGCAUUUGUGACUGUAUAGCUAGAGUACGGCAGAGGGGGAUGGAAUUCCGCGUGUAGCAGUGAAAUGCGUAGAUAUGCGGAGGAACACCGAUGGUGAAGGCAAUCCCCUGGGCCUGUACUGACGCUCAUGCACGAAAGCGUGGGGAGCAAACAGGAUUAGAUACCCCUGUAGUCCCUGUCUCUUAUAC